AAAUUGCGCAAUAUACUCAGUUACUAAUUGAUUUCCUUGUUUAAGGGCAUUCCAUUGAGUAAGAAUUUCAAAAUUAUCUCGUCUUCGCUCAUGAACCUGGUUCCUAUUCCUACGAUCGUGUCGAAAAUUUUUUUGAUCACUUUAUCUACGAAGAUAUUGUCUAUUAUGAGACGCUUCAGAAUUAGUGUCAAUCAAACGAGGGGUUUGCUUAAAAUUGCUCAACUUAUCAGCUAGUUUCUUUCUCUCUUCACGAGUAGCAAUUAUAUCUGAUUGGAUAGUCGAUAGGCUAGUCGCAAGUUGCACUAAUUGUCUAGUGAGUGCAUCAAAUGGGGAUGGAUCCAUGGUCUAGGUACUGAAACUAGAGUGACAAGACAACCGGUUGACCACUAUGCAUGCAUUGUAUUAGCAGCUAAAUGACGUGCAAUAGAGAGAUCAAUGGAACAAUAAGUGCAAGCAAUGGAAAAUAACUUGAACCUUUUUUUUUUAAUUUAAUUUUAGAUAUUGGGAUUAAAUAAAUCCAAAGCAAGCUAAUACUGCUGGUACAUGUAAAAUAGCAAAGCAAGGGUCAACACACUAGUCAAAUUCUCUAAUCAAUUUAAGUGCGGCACAAUGGAAGUCAAUUCGGUCACUGAUGUCAAUUUGAUCAAUGGUUUUGAUCAAGUGGCGUUUAAGGCGAAAAUUAUCAUGUUAACAGAAGUGCAAAGAUUUCAAUUGAUGCAAUUUUAAAUAAAGCCGUAGUGUACUCCAAUAAUGAAUAAAGAUCAAGAACUCCCUGUUUGUCAGAUUGCAAAGGGGGUGCUCACGGAAGCCUGAGUUGUUAGCGAUGUGCUCACGAAAUCUCAGUCUAGUUGUUGGUAGUACGAUCAAUAUCCCUAUGCCAAUUCACGCACAUAUGAGGCUUCAGUAAUCCGUUCAGUCACUUGCCUUGCAACUCGUCCCGUUUCCAAAAUAUUAGUCUCUGUGGUCAACUGCAAUUUCAAUAUACAGCCAAUACAGUAUACUUGAGGACAAAUUGCAAAGUUGGCCUAUGUGCCCACAAGUUGGUUGGUGUAUUGAAGUAUGUGGGUUGCAGGUUUUAUGGAUAUGUAAUGGAGUGGUGUCGAUUGUGUGAGGUGACGGCAAGGUGAGGGUUGCCGGCGGUGAAUCACGGUGGGUAAUGAGUGGUGGCGGCGGCACGACUUGCAGUUCGAGGGCAAUGGUAAUGACGGCUAUAGUGGUCGGUGGGACGUGUAUUGGAGGCAGAUUCCGGUGAUUUAGAAGAUGUGAGGCUCGAGUAAGGUGAUAGACGCCGGCGUGGAGGGCGAACGUCGCCGGCGUUAGAGGUGGAACGACGGGGAAGCCGAACGGAAUUUGGGGUCGUUGGUCGUGGGGUUAGUGAUGGUCGAAUUGGUCAUGGAAAUAUAGAUUACUGGGAUAUUACGGGGAAGAAGAUGACUAGCUUUUGGGUUAAUGUAAUUGGGCCGGGUAAUGGGUAUGUUGAAAUGGGUUAAGUGAAAACGAGAUUGGGUAGUUUGAUAAUGGGACCGAUCAGGGUAGUUUGAUAAUUGGACCGAUCAGGGUUGGACCCUGUGUUUUAGAAUUAGGUUGCUUUUGCUGUAAUUUGGGCUGAGACUUGGGUAAUUGGAUUAGAUAGGAUGGCUAUAAACUGAAAA
Molecule: long non-coding RNA, 1652 nt
Filed under: Olea europaea (common olive)
Lineage: Eukaryota; Viridiplantae; Streptophyta; Magnoliopsida; Lamiales; Oleaceae
Description: long non-coding RNA (OEUR_LNC011498)
Source: RNAcentral